GAUGAACGCUGGCGGCGUGCCUAAUACAUGCAAGUCGAGCGAACGGACGAGAAGCUUGCUUCUCUGAUGUUAGCGGCGGACGGGUGAGUAACACGUGGAUAACCUACCUAUAAGACUGGGAUAACUUCGGGAAACCGUAGCUAAUACCGGAUAAUAUUUUGAACCGCAUGGUUCAAAAGUGAAAGACGGUCUUGCUGUCACUUAUAGAUGGAUCCGCGCUGCAUUAGCUAGUUGGUAAGGUCACGGCUUACCAAGGCAACGAUGCAUAGCCGACCUGAGAGGGGGAUAGGCCACACGGGAGGUGAGACACGGUCCAGACUCCUACGGGAGGCAGCAGUAGGGAAUCUUCCGCAAUGGGCGAAAGCCUGACGGAGCAACGCCGCGUGAGUGAUGAAGGUCUUCGGAUCGUAAAACUCUGUUAUUAGGGAAGAACAUAUGUGUAAGUAACUGUGCACAGCGUGACGGUACCUAAUCAGAAAGCCACGGCUAACUACGUG
RNAcentral lists this ribosomal RNA (497 nucleotides) under uncultured bacterium. Its description in RNAcentral is "partial 16S ribosomal RNA". It matches the Rfam family "Bacterial small subunit ribosomal RNA", at positions 28 to 507 of the family's 1533-position model. The record is from RNAcentral.